This 482-nucleotide ribosomal RNA is filed under the name uncultured bacterium. Its description in RNAcentral is "partial 16S ribosomal RNA". It matches the Rfam family "Bacterial small subunit ribosomal RNA", at positions 30 to 507 of the family's 1533-position model. The record is from RNAcentral.
AUUGAACGCUGGCGGCAUGCCUUACACAUGCAAGUCGAACGGUAACGGGCCUUCGGGUGCCGCCGAGUGGCGUACGGGAGAGUAAUACAUCGGAACGUGCCCGAUCGUGGGGGAUAACGAGGCGAAAGCUUUGCUAAUACCGCAUACGAGCUAUGAUUGAAAGCAGGGGACUGCAAGGCCUUGCGCGGACGGACCGGCCGAUGGCAGAUUAGGUAGUUGGUGGGAUAAAAGCUUACCAAGCCGACGAUCUGUAGCUGGUCUGAGAGGAUGAUUAGCCACACUGUGACUGAGACACGGCCCAGACUCCUACGGGAAGCAGCAGUGGGGAAUUUUGCACAAUGGGCGCAAGCCUGAUCCAGCCAUGCCGCGUGAAGGAUGAAGGCCUUCGGGUUGUAGAAUGCUUUUGUAAGGAACGAAAAGCCUUCUUUUAAUACAGGAGGGUCAUGACGGUACCGUAAGAAUAAGCACCGGCUAACUACGUG